This is a long non-coding RNA of Drosophila arizonae, 302 nucleotides long. The record is from RefSeq and is a predicted model, not a curated record. NCBI's taxonomy places the organism in Eukaryota, Metazoa, Arthropoda, Insecta, Diptera, Drosophilidae.
AGGUCAUUCAAUAAAGUUAUAUUGUAUAUUCCAUACGAAAAUAUCUUCGGCUUCCAAGAAAUAUGGAUAUAUUGGAUAUCGAUGAAGUAUUAAAAGAUGAUUCAUACAUUUUUCUGGCCGAUAAAACACACGAUGAUAUAUCAAAUAUUCUUCACCAAUGGAAAACUAACAAUCAACAACACUUGCAACAAUAUUUACAGCCGAGUAAUGAAGAAGCAUACAAGCAUAAUUCAAAAACAUUCACGAGGCCCAAACGCAAAUCACAGGCAGCAGAAAAAAUGGAGGCACAAUUUGUAAGUGAA